Molecule: ribosomal RNA, 494 nt
Filed under: uncultured bacterium
Lineage: Bacteria
Description: bacterial SSU rRNA
Rfam family: Bacterial small subunit ribosomal RNA
Source: RNAcentral
CUACGUGCCAGCAGCCGCGGUCAUACGUAGGAUCCGAGCGUUAUCCGGAGUGACUGGGCGUAAAGAGUUGCGUAGGUGGUUGUAUAAGUGAAUAGUGAAAUCUGGUGGCUCAACCAUACAGGCUAUUAUUCAAACUGUACAACUCGAGAAUGGUAGAGGUCACUGGAAUUUCUUGUGUAGGAGUGAAAUCCGUAGAUAUAAGAAGGAACACCGAUGGCGUAGGCAGGUGACUGGACCAUUUCUGACACUAAGGCACGAAAGCGUGGGGAGCGAACCGGAUUAGAUACCCGGGUAGUCCACGCCGUAAACGAUGGAUACUGGCUGUUGGAGGUGUCGACCCCUUCAGUAGCGAAGCUAACGCGUUAAGUAUCCCGCCUGUGGAGUACGGCCGCAAGGCUAAAACAUAAAGGAAUUGACGGGGACCCGCACAAGCGGUGGAUCGUGUUCUUUAAUUCGAUGCUAAACGAAGAACCUUACCAGGGCUUGACAUCCAG